CCCCCUGGCUUACCUCCAGUUGAGGUAGUAGGUUGUAUAGUAGAGUUACAUCACUAAACAGACGAACUGUACAGCCUUCUAGCUUUCCUGGGGUACAGCACUG
This 103-nucleotide microRNA precursor is filed under the name Capitella teleta. Its description in RNAcentral is "let-7 stem-loop (cte-let-7)". Its record names the gene cte-let-7. The stretch from base 16 to 91 matches the Rfam family "let-7 microRNA precursor family". Rfam says of the family: This family represents the microRNAs (miRNA) let-7 and mir-98. let-7 was identified from a study of developmental timing in C. elegans, and was later shown to be part of a much larger class of non-coding RNAs termed miRNAs. The extents of the hairpin precursors are not generally known and are estimated based on hairpin prediction. The record is from miRBase by way of RNAcentral. Lineage: Eukaryota; Metazoa; Annelida; Polychaeta; Capitellidae.